This is a non-coding RNA of Peromyscus maniculatus bairdii (prairie deer mouse), 2460 nucleotides long. The record is from RefSeq and is a predicted model, not a curated record. Lineage: Eukaryota; Metazoa; Chordata; Mammalia; Rodentia; Cricetidae.
UUCGCUGGGAUGUGGCUAGAGCUCAGGGGAAGCCAGGAGCUGGGAAGAGGAGGGGUGCUGCCUGUGCUGGCUACUCAGUCUCUGUUCUCCCAGCCCAAGCAGGAGCGUAAAAAGCUCUCCUUAGUCCCUGAACUGGGUGACAAGGCCCGGAUGGACCGGAAUCCUCAGGGGGAAGCCACACAUCUUUCUGUGCCCUCCACUCUGGGUUCAGCGGACUGGUGCAUACGAAGACGGACACAGCUCCAUUAACAGGAGCUGUGCACAGUCUGUAUGUGCCAGGCACCGAGCUAAGUGCUUGAAGUACUCAGCUUGCCAUCUUCCUCCCCAGACAGUGGGAUGGAUGGGCUUCUGUGGCCCCGACACAGGGUUAGAAGGACAGAGACUCCAUGUCCCUGACUGGAGCCCGCCGCUUCUUUUCAGAAGGAAAACGUUGCCUGUGGCUCCAGGAGGCAGGAGGCCCAGGAAGGAGGCCAACAAGGGCCCGAGCCAACCCGUUACUCAGCAGAUACUCUCGUGGGAUCCUCCCGGCAGGUGUAUUUCAGAUGAGAAACUGGAGACUCAGAAAGGCCCAAGCACUUGCUCAAGGUCACAGAGACACUGAGUGUGUUUGCGUCUGCUCUGAUCCUGGAUGGCCAGUCACCCAACAGCUUCAGUGUCUCUGAAGCACCAAGCAAGCGAGGGUGACAUCAUUUGAGUUUAUGUCUAAUGGGAAAAGAGAAAACAGACACCUUUUGAAAAUGCUUUCACUUGUCGGCCACAUGAGCGUGACUGGCAAUAACCCCUGUGAGGAAGGAAAUACUUUGGCUGCUUGUGGUUUAGAAAGUCGGGCCCACCCUCAACGUCAUACUUUUGGAGUAAGUGACCUCCCAACUCACUGUGCCCUCCGCUUGAGUCAAGUCAGCGUGGCGGGAACAGGAGAAAGGGGAAUUCCAUCGAGUCUAAAUCUUAGUUCAAGAAUGGGUGACUCAUGCUCCGUUGGCAACCUGCCAUCCUACUAAGCAGACACACACAGUCAGAGCACCACGGCAGGCCUUGGGCCUCCAGAACUUCAGCUUUUAGCCAAUGGCUCUUGUGUGGGCCCAGAGUACAUAUAAUACCUGUCCACAGAGAAAUUGUAAAGUACUUUGGUGAUUAGAGUUAGCAAUCAACUUGACUGAACCUAGAAUCACCUCUUUCCACGUCUGUGAGGGAUUGAUUAUCUUGAUGACAUUAGUUGAUGUGAGAAGACCCAUCUAUGGAUGUGACUGUUUCCUGGAGAGGCUCCUGGACUGUAUAAAAUGGAGAUCCAGCGGAACACCGGCAAGCAUUAACUGUUCUGUUUCUUGACUGUGGAUGCAGUGUGGCCGGCCACUUCAAGCAUCUGCUGCUUUGACUGCCCCACCAGGAUGGACUGUACCUUGAACUAUGAGCCAGAACAAGCCAUUUCUCCAUGGCAUUGCUUUGGUUGGAGUAUUUUUAUCACAGCAACUGAAAAGAAACUAGAAUACCACAAAAAAGUUAGGGAAGCCAUGAAAUUGACAAUAACGGGUGUCAAAUUGAUCUGAAUUCUUUCUGGGUCAUCCCAAGAAGGGGAAAAUAUUGACACGAAUAGAGCAUUCAGCUAAAGUGCACCCCUGUCGGCUUCAUUCUUCGUGAGUUGAGCACCCACUGGGUGCUGGGGACACAGGGAAAAGGCAGACGGGACAGAGAUAAGGCUUUGCUGGCAGAACAGUGAGAGCAUGCAGGGACACAGGAGGAGCUGAGCAGGGCCACUGAGGAGGGCCGACUUGCUCACUCACCCAGGGGAAGCUGGGAUGGUGAAGUACCAGGAGGAAGAGGUUGCUUGGUUAGACCAAAAAAAAAAAAAAAAAAAAAAAAAAAAAAAAAAAAGAGUGAAAUAAAACCACCGAGGCCCGAGAACAUUUAAUAGAAGAAGAGCAUUGGUUGGCUGCGGAAAUAGUACAUUUAAUAGAAGAAGAACUUUGGUUGGCUAAAAUAAAUCCAUUUCCUCUGAAAAAACAAGAACAGUACUUGGUGGAAACACAGACAGCAAGGCUAAGAGUACUCUGCCGAGCCUUGCAUUUUACUGUGAUUGGCGGUGGGAAGUCACAUGAAGAGCAGAGUGCUCUGAGCACAUCCUCUAGUGAGAGCACUCGGAACGACUGUCAUGUCUGUCAAGUCUGUCAAGAGCAACAAGAUGUUUUCAAGAUGUUGAAAAAUAACCAAAAAGGACCAAGAAUCACCUAUUAGCAAGGAAAACUGGAUCUGGGUGUUUCGUGGGCCCUGCAAUUAUCCUUGAGUAAUUAUAAAGAUUACAGUGAGAAAUUUGAAGAAGCAUAUAAUACCCUUUGUAGAGUGGGCUGCCAUAUGCUAAAUGGCAUAUUACAUCUGGUGACACAUUCCAAAGUGUGACUAGAAACUCACAGCAUCCAAAAUGACAUUUGGUCCAAUCAAAUUACUAAUAAAAAUGACUACCUCCUA